GGCAUCAUUAAAUAUUUAAAACUCCGGUGGUGAUAGAUGAGCAUGCGUUCUAUUAGUUUGUUGGUGAGGUAAAAGCUCACCAAGACUACGAUAGAUAGGGGGCCUGAAAGGGUGAUCCCCCACACUGGUACUGAGACACGGACCAGACUCCUACGGGAGGCAGCAGUGAGGAAUAUUGCACAAUGGAGGAAACUCUGAUGCAGCCAUGCCGCGUGCAGGAUGACGGCCCUACGGGUUGUAAACCGCUUUUUUACAAGAAGAAACCUUGGUACGUGUACCAAAUUGACGGUAUUGUAAGAAUAAGCACCGGCUAACUCCGUGCCAGCAGCCGCGGUAAUACGGAGGGUGCAAGCGUUAUCCGGAUUUAUUAGGUUUAAAGGGUUCGCAGGCGGAAUUUUAAGUCAGUGGUGAAAGCCUAUAGCUCAACUAUAGAACUGCCACUGAUACUGAUAUUCUUGAGUGUAGAUGAAGUGGGCGGAAUAUGUCAUGUAGCGGUGAAAUGCAUAGAUAUGACAUGGAACACCAAUUGCGAAGGCAGCUCACUAAACUAUUACUGACGCUCAUGAAUGAAAGCAUGGGGAGCAAACAGGAUUACAUACCCUGGUAGUCCAUGCCGUAAACUAUGAUCACUAGAUGUUGGC
This 641-nucleotide ribosomal RNA is filed under the name uncultured Bacteroidota bacterium. Its description in RNAcentral is "bacterial SSU rRNA". It matches the Rfam family "Bacterial small subunit ribosomal RNA", at positions 187 to 827 of the family's 1533-position model. The record is from RNAcentral. Lineage: Bacteria; Pseudomonadati; Bacteroidota.